UUCACCAAGAAAGGAAAAAGUAAAAGCACAGAUGGCUUCCUGACGCACAUAUAUAGGGUAAUGAGGUGGGGAAUUUGUUUAUACAUUCAUCUGUUUAUUGGGAUGGAACGGAAGCCAUUCCUGUGCAAACGUUCUAGGAAGCAGCUUCAGAGUAGCCUCGAACAAAAAGACAGCAGUCCACAGUUUGCUUUGGCUAAGCAAAAUAGCAGUGGACACAGAAUAGAUUGUUGUGAGAAUAGAAGAAACAUUAUCAGGUCAAGCUGCCAGUGCAUGAAAAUAUGAGAAUGGAGGUUCCUUACUGAAGGAGAUUUUCAGAUCAGAAUAAAUCUCUUGAAGAACAACAGGUGACUGAUGGAAGGCCUGUGGAGACAAAGAAACUUAAAAGAAAAAAUCUUUGAGAAAAAGUAC
Molecule: long non-coding RNA, 408 nt
Filed under: Populus trichocarpa (black cottonwood)
Lineage: Eukaryota; Viridiplantae; Streptophyta; Magnoliopsida; Malpighiales; Salicaceae
Description: long non-coding RNA (PTRI_LNC002509)
Source: RNAcentral